AACGAACGCUGGCGGCGCGCCUAAUACAUGCAAGUCGAGCGAGAAGGUGUAGCAAUACACUUGUAAAGCGGCGAACGGGUGAGGAAUACAUGGGUAAUCUACCAUCGAGUGGGGAAUAACCAGCCGAAAGGUUGGCUAAUACCGCGUACGCUUCCGAGUCUUCGGGCUUGGAAGGAAAGCCGCACUGUGAGUGCGGCGCUCUUUGAUGAGCUCAUGUCCUAUCAGCUUGUUGGUAGGGUAACGGCCUACCAAGGCUUUGACGGGUAGCUGGUCUGAGAGGACGAUCAGCCACACUGGCACUGCGACACGGGCCAGACUCCUACGGGAGGCAGCAGUAAGGAAUAUUGCGCAAUGGGCGAAAGCCUGACGCAGCGACGCCGCGUGGGGGAUGAAGGUCUUCGGAUUGUAAACCCUUUCGGGAGGGAAGAUGGAGCGAGCAAUCGUUCGGACGGUACCUCCAGAAGCAGCCACGGCCAACUUCGUGCCAGCAGCCG
This 494-nucleotide ribosomal RNA is filed under the name uncultured bacterium. RNAcentral's name for it is "bacterial SSU rRNA". It matches the Rfam family "Bacterial small subunit ribosomal RNA", at positions 29 to 517 of the family's 1533-position model. The record is from RNAcentral.